GGUUGUGUAGUGUAGUGGUUAUCACUCUGGAUUCUGAUAAAAGCCUUCGGGCUCCAAUCUUCCAGCGACCCCGGUUCGACUCCGGGCACGACCU
This is a non-coding RNA of Mytilinidion resinicola, 94 nucleotides long. NCBI's taxonomy places the organism in Eukaryota, Fungi, Ascomycota, Dothideomycetes, Mytilinidiales, Mytilinidiaceae. The record is from the annotation of a RefSeq genome assembly.